Long non-coding RNA from Arvicola amphibius (Eurasian water vole), 1669 nucleotides. RefSeq lists it as uncharacterized. Lineage: Eukaryota; Metazoa; Chordata; Mammalia; Rodentia; Cricetidae. The record is from RefSeq and is a predicted model, not a curated record. The transcript is spliced from 3 exons.
CCCAGUUAAGUAGAAUCACAUGACAGCUGCAUUUUUUAUGAGCACCUUCCUUCACAUAGGGUAAGCACAUCAGGGUGAUUCAGGCCUGUAUAUAGAAGCAUCCGUAGUGACGGUAUUGGGACGAACGAGAAGAGUUUAUCAUCUGCAUGGUUUGCACAGUGUUUCUCUGAAGUUCCCGUCCACCCUGAACCUCAGAAUGUGGCCUUGUUUGGAAAGAGGGUCUGAUGCAAUUGAAUCAAUGAAGCCACACUGGGUAGGAGGGGCCAUCAAUCAAUAUGGCUUAGGUAUCAUUAUUCAAAGAAAUUGGAACACAGGGACACAUGAAAGGGUACGUGGGAUGAAGGCAGAGCUGGAAACACCAAGCAUUGCCAGCCAGCACCAGGACCUCAGCCAGAACCACCAAAAGAACCUCCCUUGAUCCUGCCAAGGAAGUGAUGCUGGCAACACGCUGAAUUUUGGGUUCCUAGUCUCCAGAAGUGUACAAGCACUGAUUUCUUUUUUAAUGUGAUAAAAUUCAUUGUAAUUUAUUACAGAAGUCCUAGGAAGCUAUGAAACAUUUUCACUUUAAGAAAGAAAAAAAAAGUUAUUGAAGAGUAAGCUGAACUCUAAAGAGUUGAAGAGACUUUGAAAUCACAGAGCCCUACCUCGACUUCCCUCGCAAGUGUGUUGAAUGGAUGGAUAAAGAGAACUACCCAGAUGAAAGUGCCCAGUGAGCAGCAAUGGGUGACUCCAGACGCUGGUGCCAAUCCUGGCCCUGCUUGGCCUCCAGAGGUGUCCACAGAGCACGAGAAAGCCCAGGGACAACUUCAGCACCUCAAGAGAGAGAUGGUAACCCAGGGUAUGAGUCCAAGAUGGAUCAAGCUAUUAGAAAGGGAGAAUUAUUGUCUGGCAUGGAAGAUAAGGAUAAGCUCUGGGAGUGAUGUUGAGAGACUGACAUCCAGGGAAGAAGCAAGCUGCGGCGCUGGUGCAUUACCUCUUGAGGAUAUCUGGGUUGUCAUAGGUCAGGUAACUGCGGCCGAUGAACUGCGGGAUCUCGAUGGCUUCCGUAAUCGCUGAGACAGAACAGAAAAUGGAGGUUAUGUGGCAUGUGGCCCUCUUGACCUCUCUGCUCAUACCCAUGUCAGUAACAUGGCCCGAAAGCUAGCCAUGGAAUGUGGCAUUUGACAACUUGUCAGCCCCUUGCUCUGGGCUGAGCAAGCACUGGUUGGGCUCACGGCAGCUUGGCCCAGUGGCCUGGCAGUGGUUUCUCCCCUUUCUCCCUUCCCUGGGGGCUGGCGGUCACUGUCACUGUCCUUGGCACUGCUGUGAAGGCCUUGCAAUGUGCUGAAACUUGAACUGUCCCCAGUGCUUCUUGGAAGCUGGAGGAGAGCCUGAACCAUGUGGAGAGCAGCUGGGGAUAACCCCAGAGUCGUGCCAAGGGAGGCAGAGAAAGUCAUCCCCAAACAAAGUCCAGUGGGGUUCUUUAUUUAGGGAUCAUCUACCGAACUCCUACAGCUCUGGUGAGAGAAUAGUGAGUGCAGUGUUUGAGCUCUGGGUCUUCUCUCAGACACGAGCAAUUGUACAAAGCCCUCACCCGGAACUCAUGGAGAAGCACAAAUAGAGGACAGAACGGGCCCAGGGCUGCCCCCCCCCCCCCGCCCCCUUGCUAAGACUACAGCAGACCCUGAAC